AACGCCACCGGAUCUACACCUCGCGUCACAACCAGGUAGUCGCGAAUGACGAUGCCGUGCCGGUUCUC
RNAcentral lists this small RNA (68 nucleotides) under Mycobacteroides stephanolepidis. Its description in RNAcentral is "[Mycobacterium] stephanolepidis ASdes TB sRNA". It matches the Rfam family "ASdes TB sRNA". The record is from RNAcentral. Lineage: Bacteria; Bacillati; Actinomycetota; Actinomycetes; Mycobacteriales; Mycobacteriaceae.